RNAcentral lists this long non-coding RNA (475 nucleotides) under Phoenix dactylifera (date palm). RNAcentral describes it as "long non-coding RNA (PDAC_LNC002985)". The record is from RNAcentral. Lineage: Eukaryota; Viridiplantae; Streptophyta; Magnoliopsida; Arecales; Arecaceae.
GGUGAGAGACUGCUAUUCCUUUCAAGCUACCCAUGUGUACUACAAGGUAAACAAAGUGUCAGACUGGGUCGUCUCCUUUGCUGCUCAUCAUUUAGAAGAGGUUUUAUGAAUAUGGUCUAUAAAGAAGAAGAAGAAGAAGAGGGAAGUUUUAUGGUUUUAAUUUACUAACCAUGGGUAACAUGUUGUCCAUCAAAUUCAUUGGAUUCUCUAGGGGUCGGCAGUCACUGUUUUUCGUAAGCUCGACGCUACGCAGAAUUGACGUCUUACCAGAAGCGACACCGGUAGCUGACCUGGAGCCUGCAUGGAAAUUACCGCGCCAGUGGCCAAAAGAAGGCUAGUUUCACCCAUCAUACCAUUUACCUCGGUAUAAUCCAUCAUUUUCACUCGUCAUACCACUAUUUUCACUCGUCCUACAAGCAAAAUAUGAUCCUAGGUUGGGUUGGCUUAGGCAGUUAGGCCCAAUCCUACCUACAAA